Molecule: ribosomal RNA, 1421 nt
Filed under: uncultured organism
Description: SSU rRNA
Rfam family: Bacterial small subunit ribosomal RNA
Source: RNAcentral
GGCGUGCCUAACACAUGCAAGUCGAGCGAUUUACUUCGGUAAAGAGCGGCGGACGGGUGAGUAACGCGUGGGUAACCUGCCCUGUACACACGGAUAACAUACCGAAAGGUAUGCUAAUACGAGAUAACAUGAGAAAGUCGCAUGGCUUUCUUAUCAAAGUUUUUGCGGUACAGGAUGGACCCGCGUCUGAUUAGCUAGUUGGUAAGGUAACGGCUUACCAAGGCGACGAUCAGUAGCCGACCUGAGAGGGUGAUCGGCCACAUUGGAACUGAGACACGGUCCAAACUCCUACGGGAGGCAGCAGUGGGGAAUAUUGCACAAUGGGCGAAAGCCUGAUGCAGCAACGCCGCGUGAGCGAUGAAGGCCUUCGGGUCGUAAAGCUCUGUCCUCAAGGAAGAUAAUGACGGUACUUGAGGAGGAAGCCCCGGCUAACUACGUGCCAGCAGCCGCGGUAAUACGUAGGGGGCUAGCGUUAUCCGGAAUUACUGGGCGUAAAGGGUGCGUAGGCGGUCUUUCAAGUCAGGAGUGAAAGGCUACGGCUCAACCGUAGUAAGCUCUUGAAACUGUAAGACUUGAGUGCAGGAGAGGAGAGUAGAAUUCCUAGUGUAGCGGUGAAAUGCGUAGAUAUUAGGAGGAAUACCAGUUGCGAAGGCGGCUCUCUGGACUGUAACUGACGCUGAGGCACGAAAGCGUGGGGAGCAAACAGGAUUAGAUACCCUGGUAGUCCACGCCGUAAACGAUGAGUACUAGCUGUCGGAGGUUACCCCCUUCGGUGGCGCAGCUAACGCAUUAAGUACUCCGCCUGGGAAGUACGCUCGCAAGAGUGAAACUCAAAGGAAUUGACGGGGACCCGCACAAGUAGCGGAGCAUGUGGUUUAAUUCGAAGCAACGCGAAGAACCUUACCUAAGCUUGACAUCCUUUUGACCGAUGCUUAAUCGCAUCUUUCCCUUCGGGGACAGAAGUGACAGGUGGUGCAUGGUUGUCGUCAGCUCGUGUCGUGAGAUGUUGGGUUAAGUCCCGCAACGAGCGCAACCCUUGCCUUUAGUUGCCAGCAUUAAGUUGGGCACUCUAGAGGGACUGCCAGGGAUAACCUGGAGGAAGGUGGGGAUGACGUCAAAUCAUCAUGCCCCUUAUGCUUAGGGCUACACACGUGCUACAAUGGGUGGUACAGAGGGCAGCCAAACCGUGAGGUGGAGCUAAUCCCUUAAAGCCAUUCUCAGUUCGGAUUGUAGGCUGAAACUCGCCUACAUGAAGCCGGAGUUACUAGUAAUCGCAGAUCAGAAUGCUGCGGUGAAUGCGUUCCCGGGUCUUGUACACACCGCCCGUCACACCACGGAAGUUGGGGGCGCCCGAAGCCGGAUAGCUAACCUUCUGGAAGCGUCCGUCGAAGGUGAAAUCAAUAACUGGGGCGAAGUCAUAA